RNAcentral lists this unclassified non-coding RNA (259 nucleotides) under Hevea brasiliensis (rubber tree). The record is from RNAcentral. Lineage: Eukaryota; Viridiplantae; Streptophyta; Magnoliopsida; Malpighiales; Euphorbiaceae.
GGAAAAGAGUUCAAUUCAUCUCUUGUUUGACAAAUGUAAAUCACAAAUAGCUGACAGAUUAAUUCACUCAAUUUGCCACCUUUAUUAACCACACCAUUCAAUUAAUAAAAAUGCAACCAUUUAACAAUUCAUUGUCGAAUGUUAUAAUGGGAAAAAAGAGGAAAUUAUUUCACCGAAAAUUGCACCAUCCUAUACAUAGCCCAACUUAAUCAUUUCAGAAUUCAAUAUUGCAUUAGUUUUCAAAAAACGCAAUUCAUCU